RNAcentral lists this long non-coding RNA (455 nucleotides) under Junco hyemalis (dark-eyed junco). RNAcentral's name for it is "lncRNA (ENSJHYG00000007602.1)". Lineage: Eukaryota; Metazoa; Chordata; Aves; Passeriformes; Passerellidae. The record is from RNAcentral.
UUUGAAAUUAGGAAAUCAUAUGGAAACAGCAGGAGGAUUCCCAGCCUUGCGCUAUUUCCUUCCCCUGUGAUCAUGAAGUUUUAUUGCUGCAUGAGCCCUGCUGCCUACCAUGUCAGAGGAGCUCAGCAAGAGCCAUGCCAGUACUGGUUCAAUCCAGCAGAGCUUUUACUGACAAAAGAAGAACUGUUUUCUGCCUCACACUCUCCUUAGUCCUGGCACCUCUGGGAGGUCUGUGUCCAUCCCUGCUGUGGCUGGGCACUCCAGAGCUGUUCACACACCCAAGUCUUUGUCUAACACCUCUGCAGUGGAAGCAGCGUGUGUUCUGGAGAGGAAGACAGAAUUCCCCCAAGCAGAGGCACUGCCGUCCUCCCAACAGACCUGCCACAACCAGAGGGGCAUUCAGAGCAUGAGCUCUCACAUAGAGCACACGCUGCAUCCUGGCUGCUUCACUGCCA